GGGGGUGCAGCCCACUGAUAGAGCCCCUGCCUAGCAUGCACAAGGCCCUGGGUUCGAUCCCCAGCACUGCCA
Molecule: transfer RNA, 72 nt
Filed under: Fukomys damarensis (Damara mole-rat)
Lineage: Eukaryota; Metazoa; Chordata; Mammalia; Rodentia; Bathyergidae
Rfam family: tRNA
About the family: Transfer RNA (tRNA) molecules are approximately 80 nucleotides in length. Their secondary structure includes four short double-helical elements and three loops (D, anti-codon, and T loops).
Source: Rfam by way of RNAcentral